CACGGGUGAGUAACGCGUAUGCAACUUGCCUAUCAGAGGGGGAUAGCCCGGCGAAAGUCGGACUAAUACCGCAUGAAGCAGGGGCCCCGCAUGGGGAUAUUUGCUAAAGAUUCAUCGCUGAUAGAUAGGCAUGCGUUCCAUUAGGCAGUUGGCGGGGUAACGGCCCACCAAACCGACGAUGGAUAGGGGUUCUGAGAGGAAGGUCCCCCACAUUGGUACUGAGACACGGACCAA
RNAcentral lists this ribosomal RNA (234 nucleotides) under uncultured bacterium. RNAcentral's name for it is "partial 16S ribosomal RNA". It matches the Rfam family "Bacterial small subunit ribosomal RNA", at positions 102 to 334 of the family's 1533-position model. The record is from RNAcentral.